Molecule: ribosomal RNA, 460 nt
Filed under: uncultured bacterium
Lineage: Bacteria
Description: partial 16S ribosomal RNA
Rfam family: Bacterial small subunit ribosomal RNA
Source: RNAcentral
CCUACGGGAGGCAGCAGUGAGGAAUAUUGGUCAAUGGACGGAAGGCUGAACCAGCCAAGUAGCGUGAGGGAAGACUGCCCUAUGGGUUGUAAACCUCUUUUAUGCGGGGAACAAGGUGUCCACGUGUGGCUGUUUGCAGGUACCGCAUGCAUCAGGACCGGCUAAUUCCGUGCCAGCAGCCGCGGUAAUACGGAAGGUCCGGGCGUUAUCCGGAUUUAUUGGGUUUAAAGGUAGCGUAGGCCGGUCUUUAAGCGUGCCGUGAAAUUUUGUGGCUCAACCAUGGGAGUGCGGCGCGAACUGGAGACCUUGAGUGCGCGUGAGGCAGGCGGAAUUCGUGGUGUAGCGGUGAAAUGCGUAGAUAUCACGAAGAACCCCGAUUGCGAAGGCAGCCUGCCGCAGCGUUACUGACGCUGAAGCUCGAAAGCGCGGGUAUCGAACAGGAUUAGAUACCCCAGUAGUC